UACGAAGGGGGCUAGCGUUGUUCGGAAUCACUGGGCGUAAAGCGCAUGCAGGCGGAUUGUUAAGUCGGGGGUGAAAUCCCGGGGCUCAACCUCGGAACUGCCUCUGAUACAGCAAGUCUUGAGUCCGGAAGAGGUGGGUGGAAUUCCUAGUGUAGAGGUGAAAUUCGUAGAUAUUAGGAAGAACACCAGUGGCGAAGGCGGCUCACUGGUCCGGUACUGACGCUGAGGUGCGAAAGCGUGGGGAGCAAACAGG
This 253-nucleotide ribosomal RNA is filed under the name uncultured bacterium. Its description in RNAcentral is "partial 16S ribosomal RNA". It matches the Rfam family "Bacterial small subunit ribosomal RNA", at positions 524 to 776 of the family's 1533-position model. The record is from RNAcentral.